ACGAUGAACCGGUCAGCCGCGGCGGCAUCAAGAAAGCCUUCCCCAGCGGGAAGACAUGAUCGCCGUCCGAGGAAAGUCCGGGCUCCGCAGGGCAUGAUGCCGGGUAACCCCCGGGCGGGAAGGGCGAAAGCCCUCCCCGACAGAACGUGCAACAGAAAGUAUACAGCCGCCGGAGGGCGCCUGCCCUCCGGCGGUAAUGGUGAAACGGCGGGGUAAGAGCCCACCGCUAUGCCGGCAACGGCAUGGGCCGGCAAACCUCAUCAGGAGCAAAAUCAAGCGGCGCCGCAGAGGCUUCGGCAGAAUUGCCGCCGGCCUUUGCGCCGGCUGCCCGCCGGUUAAGCGCAGGUAGAUUGCCGGGGAUAUCCCCGGAGACCGUCCGUAAGGCCGGUUCAAGACAGAUGGCUGGCAGAGCUGCCCCGGAUGCAUUUCCUAAAGCAGUUCUGAUAACAGAACCCGGCUUACGGUUCAUCGUUUUU
Molecule: RNase P RNA, 476 nt
Filed under: Treponema sp.
Lineage: Bacteria; Pseudomonadati; Spirochaetota; Spirochaetia; Treponematales; Treponemataceae
Description: RNase P RNA component class A
Rfam family: Bacterial RNase P class A
About the family: Ribonuclease P (RNase P) is a ubiquitous endoribonuclease, found in archaea, bacteria and eukarya as well as chloroplasts and mitochondria. Its best characterised activity is the generation of mature 5'-ends of tRNAs by cleaving the 5'-leader elements of precursor-tRNAs.
Source: RNAcentral